CGUCCGUGGUGUUUUCUUACUUUAAGUAAGUCCAAACCAAAAUCUGGUGAAUGAACACGAAGCAAAAUAUUUGUUCCCUGAUAAAUUUAUUGACCUCGGCAAUUUGACAUUCUAACAGUCUAUCCUGCACACGAAACUGCUCUGGUUCAAGAUGUUGUUGGAACAAAUUCCACAAAUAAAUCGAAUAAUAUGGAAGCUCGAGAAAAACAACUUUAAUUGUAGGAUAAUCGGAAAGGAACUUAUAAAUUUGUCUGUAUGUUUCACAUAUGUAAUUUACUCUCUCAUUAUUAACCGAUCGUAAUUUAAUAAAUUUUCCAGUUUUUUCUGUCAGGUCACAAGUACCUAGCCAAAUGUAAAUUGUAAUAUGUUGUGAAGAAAGUUCCUGAAUUUUAGAUUCUAAGUUUUCUUUUAACCAAGUAAACUGAGUUUCGGUGUCCGCACCACUUUUCCACCACCAAAAUAUUUUAUUAUCAGGAUGCGAUGACCAGUCAAUAGUGUUAUAGCUAAAUAUUUGGCCUUACUAUCAGACAAUAUUACAGGUAUUGUGCGCAAAAGAGGCGCUUGGUGAAGUCUCUGCUCUAAAUUACGCACUUGUUUACUCACACGGGCAAGACUCAUUUAUAAUUGAUGCGUCUUUGUAUAUGUUGAAAAAAAACUGUGUUAUAAAUGAAUAUAUAUUUGUAUAAUGCUAUAGUCACUGGUCAAAAUGCUCUCAUAAUUUAUCCAUAUUGACGAAUCAACCACGUGUGUCGUCCACGUGUAUGGGAUCUACAUGUAUUAUCAACGGGAGUCACAUUUUCAAAAAUAAUUAAAAUGUCUUUUAAAAACAGCAAAUAUUCUCAUAAAAUUGUUAAAAGUCUCCUAUUAAUCUUUUUAGGGUCACUCCACCAUGUAACGAUAUCGCCUCGUCUUAAUUAUAAGUUUUGGGUUGGGACUAGCUCAAGCAAUAAAACACGUCUUACGUUCACGACAUUUAAUGAAAGAGAGAGUAAAACAAAAAGGCGUUUCCGGACAUCACUUGUACAGUUCCGUAAAACAUAUAAACUGAAUUACACAUAUAUAA
Molecule: long non-coding RNA, 1063 nt
Filed under: Mytilus galloprovincialis (Mediterranean mussel)
Lineage: Eukaryota; Metazoa; Mollusca; Bivalvia; Mytilida; Mytilidae
Source: RNAcentral